RNAcentral lists this transfer RNA (63 nucleotides) under Enterobacter asburiae. Its description in RNAcentral is "tRNA-Val". It matches the Rfam family "tRNA". From Rfam's summary of the family: Transfer RNA (tRNA) molecules are approximately 80 nucleotides in length. The record is from RNAcentral. Lineage: Bacteria; Pseudomonadati; Pseudomonadota; Gammaproteobacteria; Enterobacterales; Enterobacteriaceae.
GGGUGAUUAGCUCAGUUGGUAGAGCAUCUCCUUUACACGGAGGGGGUCCGUCAUCACCCACCA